AGGUGUCCCUGAAAAUCCCAGGAUUCCCUAGCUUUGAAUACGGUUACUCCCUUUGGAUGGCUGUAGGUGGGAGCUUAGGAGCCAUCACUACAUCAAUAAUUGCCUGGUAUCUGAUUCUCUGCAACAAGAAGCCGCAAGUGAUACAGAAAAAAGGAUUAGAUGGAAGCCAAUAUCCUGACGCUUUGGAUGUUGUAAAAACAUAUGUUUAACUAAAUCAGCCAACUAAAUGUAU
Pelobates cultripes (western spadefoot toad) is the source of this 232-nucleotide non-coding RNA. NCBI's taxonomy places the organism in Eukaryota, Metazoa, Chordata, Amphibia, Anura, Pelobatidae. The record is from the annotation of a GenBank genome assembly.